GCUUGAGUAUGUGAUUGUUGUUAAGAUAAUAUUUGGUUGAGUAUAGGCACAAAGUGAGCUAGAUGAGGAUCAUUACUAGUUGACUUGUUGGCACUAUGUUGUAUCACAAGCUAGUAAAUCUGUUUUCUUAUUAGCCUUGUGUCAAUUAAAAGUCAUUUAGCUAGAGAACAUUUGAGGAGCGAGCCAUCUAUUCUAUGACAGCCUGAACUAACAACAAAAAAAAAUGUUGAAACCAAGUACUUCUUUAAUUAAAUACUUUAGAUAUUUUUUUCUCUAAGAUCAUUAGUUUUUCCUUCUAAUUCUAGGUAAUCUCCCAUUUUUCUAACAUCACUUUUGGUUAUGAAUCUUGGAUUUUUAAUUUUCUGUCAUAUAGAGUGGCUUAACUGGUUUUGUUUUGCCUUUUGUUAUUUGAUAAUUAGCGAUUGAUAAAGUUGAUGAGUAAGGUCCCCUUGUUGAGAUGGAUUAAUUAGUUGUUUUGUGAUAAAGAUGAUGUUUCUUGAUGAUACUUAGUGUUGUAAUUGUAAAACUGAUCAGAUGUCUGCUAGUUUUUCGGAUUUAGGUUGAUAAUGUUGACAUUCUGUAGUGUAGAAAGGAAAUUUUCUCACGCCUGCUAGCUGCCGCUAUGACAGUUCCUUGAGUAAUACCAUACUCUGUAUUUGUACGACUAUUUUUGAUUGUUGCCAUACAAGUUUAAUGAUGAUUGGUAUGCGCGGUGCUUCUCAGGUCUAUUGACUAAGAAAUUUGUCGCUUUGAUAAAGCAUGCAGAGGAUGGUGAACUUGAUCUAAACAAGGCGGCUGACACUUUGCAGGUGAUUAAACUUGAGCUAGAAGAAUUCUGUAUUUGACAUGAUUAUAAAUAUUGGGAUCACAUAUACUGCGGAAUUCAUCUUAUACUGUAUAUUUCUCAACCCAGCUGGACUCAGCUUCAGGAGGUACUCUUCACUAUGCGGUCGCGAGUAGCUCAACACUUAUAUAGUUGAAGGACAAGAUACAAGAUUAUAGAGCUUAUAGAGAGGUGCUGGUUUUAGAAGGCAACGGAAGCCCUAGAUUUUUUUUUAGUUGGGCUCAAAACAUUUUGUAUGAAUGUUUUGUGAUAUAUAUAAUAUAUGUUAUUGAUGGUUUUAUCA
Salvia miltiorrhiza (redroot sage) is the source of this 1127-nucleotide long non-coding RNA. RefSeq lists it as uncharacterized. The transcript is spliced from 2 exons. NCBI's taxonomy places the organism in Eukaryota, Viridiplantae, Streptophyta, Magnoliopsida, Lamiales, Lamiaceae. The record is from RefSeq and is a predicted model, not a curated record.